GACGAACGCUGGCGGCGUGCUUAACACAUGCAAGUCGAGCGGUAAGGCCCUUUCGGGGGUACGACGAGCGGCGAACGGGUGAGUAACACGUGGGUGGACCUGCCUUUAGCUCUGGGAUAAGCCUGGGAAACUGGGUCUAAUACCGGAGUACGACUCCGCCGGUGCAUGCUGUGGGGUGGAAAGCCUUGUGCGGCUGGAGAUGGGCCCGCGGCCGUAUCAGCUUGUUGGUGGGGUGAUGGCCGUACCAAGGCGACGACGGGUAGCCGGCCUGAGAGGGCGACCGGCCACACUGGGACUGAGACACGGCCCAGACUCCGUACGGGAGGGCAGCAGUGGGGAAUCUUGCGC
This 348-nucleotide ribosomal RNA is filed under the name uncultured bacterium. Its description in RNAcentral is "bacterial SSU rRNA". It matches the Rfam family "Bacterial small subunit ribosomal RNA", at positions 28 to 369 of the family's 1533-position model. The record is from RNAcentral.